GAUCCUGGCUCAGGAUGAACGCUGGCGGCGUGCUUAACACAUGCAAGUCGAACGGACGAUGAAGAGCUUGCUUUUCAGAGUUAGUGGCGGACGGGUGAGUAACGCGUGGGUAACCUGCCUCAUACAGGGGGAUAGCAGCUGGAAACGGCUGAUAAAACCGCAUAAGCGCACAGCAUCGCAUGAUGCAGUGUGAAAAACUCCGGUGGUAUGAGAUGGGCCCGCGU
Molecule: ribosomal RNA, 224 nt
Filed under: uncultured bacterium
Lineage: Bacteria
Description: partial 16S ribosomal RNA
Rfam family: Bacterial small subunit ribosomal RNA
Source: RNAcentral